Long non-coding RNA from Perognathus longimembris pacificus (Pacific pocket mouse), 550 nucleotides. RefSeq lists it as uncharacterized. NCBI's taxonomy places the organism in Eukaryota, Metazoa, Chordata, Mammalia, Rodentia, Heteromyidae. The transcript is spliced from 2 exons. The record is from RefSeq and is a predicted model, not a curated record.
GGGGGUCUGGGAGGGGAGGGCGCCCCCCCUUCCCGACGCUCCUACCUGUGAGGGCCGCGAGGCGAGCGCGGGGCGCCGGGUCCCGGGCCGCGGAGAAGCUGCCUCCGCCUCCCUGUCAGUCAGUCAGUGCCCGGGCGGGUGGGCGCUGGGGCGCCCGCGUCCCCGAGGCCGCCGCCGCCACCGCACAAACUUUGUGACCGUCCGGGGACGGCGCGGGGAGGAGGAGCCGAGGCCGACAGGUACACAGGUUUUGUACAUCUCCUGGGAGUUCCUGGCGGAACCAAAUGUUGGAUAAAUCUUUCCCAGUCCUCUGAAGAGUGAAGUAAGCAAUCACAACUCAGCAGUGGGCUCCAGAAGAAAAAGAGAGGAAUUACAGGCAAUGUCUCCUUUCUUAUUAUCAUUGAUGGGGGAUCAUGGAUUUAUAGUCAGUAAUUUUCAACAAUAGACUUUCUGGAAGCAAUGUUAAUUGAACUUACACAUCUAGAUGAACAUUAUCUUAUUCCAAACAGGCCUUAUGAUAGCCUGUAUUCUCUCUUCUACUCCAAGUAUU